RNAcentral lists this transfer RNA (78 nucleotides) under Bacillus pumilus ATCC 7061. Its description in RNAcentral is "tRNA-Val". It matches the Rfam family "tRNA". From Rfam's summary of the family: Transfer RNA (tRNA) molecules are approximately 80 nucleotides in length. The record is from RNAcentral. Lineage: Bacteria; Bacillati; Bacillota; Bacilli; Caryophanales; Bacillaceae.
UGAUUCCGUAGCUCAGCUGGGAGAGCGCUACCUUGACAGGGUAGAGGUCGCUGGUUCGAGCCCAGUCGGAAUCAUCGU